CGCUUAUCCACGCUCCUGCCUUGUUCUUUGACACGAAUCCAGGUAGGCGGAUCUUGAAUCGCUUCUCUGCAGACUCAGGGCAGAUGGACAACCUUCACCUAGAUAUUUUCAUUUUUCAUGUUUGACCUUCUUGUGUCUAUAUUCAUUCCUGCGCUCGCUAGCUAUUGGCUGCUUUUUUAUGAUCUUACUGCUUGUAUUGGUGGAGUAGUGGGGGUCGAAAUACCUUCGGGUUAAUUGUGAAAUGACGAGACUGCAGUCGCUCGCCUGAUCUCCCGUAUUCUCACACAUCUCCAGCACCAUUGAACGCCUGACGACGAUCGGCAUGCACAACGCAAGGGAUGUAUUCAUCAACAGGAAUCACAGUAGCUUGUGAGCAGGUCCACUAUGUUGUUUUGGUUGAGAUUGGCCUAAAGCUGGAACAAGUGCCAAAUCAGAAGAAUGGGAAAUUCACAAUUGACAUCCACCCAAAAAGCAAUUGCGACUAGGAAACACAAGCUGCACAUGUGACCGAAAA
Molecule: long non-coding RNA, 514 nt
Organism: Nematostella vectensis (starlet sea anemone)
Lineage: Eukaryota; Metazoa; Cnidaria; Anthozoa; Actiniaria; Edwardsiidae
Exons: 2
Source: RefSeq, a predicted model, not a curated record